RNAcentral lists this ribosomal RNA (253 nucleotides) under uncultured bacterium. Its description in RNAcentral is "partial 16S ribosomal RNA". It matches the Rfam family "Bacterial small subunit ribosomal RNA", at positions 524 to 776 of the family's 1533-position model. The record is from RNAcentral.
GACGGAGGGCGCGAGCGUUGUUCGGAAUUACUGGGCGUAAAGCGCACGCAGGCGGUCUCUUAAGUCCACUGUUAAAUCACGGGGCUCAACCCCGGCGGUGCAGUGGAUACUGAGGGACUGGAGACCGGUAGAGGCUAGCGGAAUUCCUGGUGUAGCGGUGGAAUGCGUAGAUAUCAGGAGGAACACCGGUGGCGAAGGCGGCUAGCUGGGCCGGUUCUGACGCUCAUGUGCGAAAGCGUGGGGAGCAAACAGG